This 460-nucleotide ribosomal RNA is filed under the name uncultured bacterium. RNAcentral describes it as "partial 16S ribosomal RNA". It matches the Rfam family "Bacterial small subunit ribosomal RNA", at positions 338 to 795 of the family's 1533-position model. The record is from RNAcentral.
CCUACGGGAGGCAGCAGUGAGGAAUAUUGGUCAAUGGACGAGAGUCUGAACCAGCCAAGUAGCGUGAAGGAUGACUGCCCUAUGGGUUGUAAACUUCUUUUAUAAAGGAAUAAAACGAGGCACGUGUGCCUUUUUGCAUGUACUUUAUGAAUAAGGAUCGGCUAACUCCGUGCCAGCAGCCGCGGUAAUACGGAGGAUCCGAGCGUUAUCCGGAUUUAUUGGGUUUAAAGGGAGCGUAGGUGGAUUGUUAAGUCAGUUGUGAAAGUUUGCGGCUCAACCGUAAAAUUGCAGUUGAAACUGGCAGUCUUGAGUACAGUAGAGGUGGGCGGAAUUCGUGGUGUAGCGGUGAAAUGCUUAGAUAUCACGAAGAACUCCGAUUGCGAAGGCAGCAUACCGGCGCUCAACUGACGCUGAGGCACGAAAGCGUGGGGAUCGAACAGGAUUAGAUACCCUUGUAGUC